AUGCCGAACAUCCCAGGGGACCUGGAGAGCCGGGAGGCCAUGGUGGCAUUUUUCAACUCCGCUGGAGCCAGUGCCCAGGAGGAACAAAGGGUGUGCUGCCAGCCCCUGGCUCACCCAGUGGCCUCGUCCCAGAAGAAGCCAGAGGUAGCGGCCCCAGCCCCAGAGAGUGGGGGUGAGUCUGUGUUUGGGGAGACCCACCGGGCCCUGCAGGGGGCCAUGGAGAAGCUGCAGCGACUUUAUGGAAGGAGAAGGUGGACCUGAAGGAGCGGGUAGAGAAACUAGAGCUUCAAUUCAUCCACCUCUCAGGACAGACAGACACCAUAGUGAGAAAGUACAUCAGCCAGGGGGCAGUGUCAGAGACGCAGCACUGGGAGAGGAGGACAUCGUCAGGCUGGCCCAGGACCAGGAGGAGAUGAAGGUGAACCUGCAGGAGCUGCGGGGCAGGUGUUGCAGCUUGUGGGCGACCACAAGGAGGGGCAUGGCAAAUUUUGACCAUUGCCCAGAACCCUGCUGAUGAGCCCACUCUAGGAGCCCCAGUAGCCCAGGAGCUUGGGUGUGCUGACGAGCAGGGUGAUCACCACUGGAUUGCUGACAGAUAGAGGAGGUGGGACCCUGACUAUCACCCCUAAUCUGCAGUGGAUUUGGCUCUCGGCACUCCCAGGCUGGGAGCUGGAUACCUGCCCUGGCAGCAUGGCUCAGACUGCAUGACAGAGAACGUGGCCAGUGGAGACGGCACACUG
Molecule: long non-coding RNA, 740 nt
Filed under: Homo sapiens (human)
Lineage: Eukaryota; Metazoa; Chordata; Mammalia; Primates; Hominidae
Description: non-protein coding lnc-WDR73-5:4
Source: RNAcentral